Molecule: long non-coding RNA, 1491 nt
Organism: Peromyscus eremicus (cactus mouse)
Lineage: Eukaryota; Metazoa; Chordata; Mammalia; Rodentia; Cricetidae
Exons: 2
Source: RefSeq, a predicted model, not a curated record
UUGUUUGCCAGGUUUAACUUGGGACUGCUGGUCUGCCAUUGGUGUUUGGAAUUUAGGGUUGGAGAGAAGAGGCAGGGAGUUCAAGAGAAGGCACUGGAUCCAACUGUCCUUCAGUCAGGAGGAACCCUUUAAAAGGUGGGAGCUGGCCUCCUACAUCCAACCAUCACAGUAUAGACACCUUCAUCAAUGGAAACAGAAUUGAGGACUCAUGGAACCCACACUCCUAUAGACCUCAAAACACAUGCCUUGGAGAAAGAAAAGCAAAUGGUGCUGUUCCAACUGGCUAGCUACAAGCAGAAGAAUGAAACUGGAUCCUGUCUCUGCCUCUGCACAGAAGUCAACUCCAAAUGCAUCAAGGACCACAACACAAGGCCUGAUACCAUGAACUUGACAGAGAAGAAAGUAAGGAAUGUACUUCAGCUUAUAGGCACAUAAUGGACUUUCUGAAUAGGAGUUGAGCAGCAGAAGCAUGAAGACUAACACUUGACAAGUGGGACUUUGUGCAAAUAAAAAGCUUCUGUAGUGCAAAGGAAACUUGAGCAGCCAACAGAAUGGAUGGGGGGAGUCUUUACUCUCUAUACAUCUGAAAGAUAAUUAUUACUUACAAUAUACAAAGGACUCAAAAAAAUUAAAUACUCAUAAACAAGCCAAUUUCAAAAGUAGGCUAUGUAAUGGAACAGUGAGGAGGAGGAAGGAGGAGAGGAGGAAGGGGAAGAGGAGGAAGAAGGAGGAGGAGAAGGAGGAGAAGAGAGAAGAAGAAGCUGAGAAAUAAUUUUUAAAAUGUUCACAGUCUUUAGCCAUCAGGAAGAUGUGAAUACCUGAGAUUUCAUCUCAUCCCAGUUGGGAUGGCUUUGAUUAAUAACAUAGAUAACAACCAAUGCUGGUGAGGAUGGUGAGGAUGUCGGGAAAGGGCAAACCUCAUUCAUUUCUGGUCAGAAUGCCAACUGGUGCAGCUACUAUGGAAACCAAUUUGUCAGCACCUCAAAAAACUAGAAAUAGAUACUAUAUAUGACCCAGCUAUACCUCUCCUGGGCCUAUACUUAAAGGACUGUAUUUCCUAUUAUGGAGAUAUAUGCUCAUUUUUGUUCACAGUAGCCAAAUGUAAUGGAUAGUGAAACUGCUGUACAGAUGUGCAAUGGAACAUUACCCAACUGGAAAAAAAAAUGUCAGCUAUUCAGUUUUCAGGCAAAUGGAUGAAACUUGAAAACAUUACACUGAAUGAGGUAACCCAAACCCAGAAAGAUAAACGUUUCAUGUUCUCCCUCAUAUGUGUUCCUAGUAUCAAAUUCCUAGAUCUUUGUGUUUAACUUGGAGCCAGGAAAACCAUUGGUAAAAUAGAGAAGGAAAGAUAUUAAUGAAGUAGUCAGUAGUAAAACAGAAGUGAUAUGAAGAGGAAAAAUGGGGAAGGAAGUAUAAUUGGAGAGAGAAUAAGAGGGUAGAGCAGAGGAGGAGUUGGGAGAGGAAUAAGUAACAAUAAAUGUUUGAAAACGC